RNAcentral lists this ribosomal RNA (254 nucleotides) under uncultured prokaryote. RNAcentral's name for it is "partial 16S ribosomal RNA". It matches the Rfam family "Bacterial small subunit ribosomal RNA", at positions 524 to 777 of the family's 1533-position model. The record is from RNAcentral.
UACGGAGGAUGCAAGCGUUAUCCGGAUUCAUUGGGUUUAAAGGGUGCGUAGGCGGGCUAUUAAGUCAGUGGUGAAAUCCUGCAGCUUAACUGCAGAACUGCCGUUGAUACUGAUAGUCUUGAGUUUGAUUAAGGUAGGCGGAAUGUGUAAUGUAGCGGUGAAAUGCUUAGGUAUUACACAGAACACAAAUUGCGUAGGCAGCUUACUGAGCCGACACUGACGCUGAGGCACGAAAGCGUGGGGAUCAAACAGGA